CGGGUGCUGCCCUUCUCGUUAACGGUUGCAUUCCGGUGGCCUUAAGCAAUUCCGAGGGAACUGGCUCUGUCCGGACCGUGGUCCGUUUAUCCGGUGCCCACCUGUACACACAGGUCCUCGGGAAUGAGAAAACCAAACGGCUGCGGCGGGCCCGCC
RNAcentral lists this unclassified non-coding RNA (156 nucleotides) under Roseovarius lutimaris. RNAcentral describes it as "6S / SsrS RNA". The record is from RNAcentral. Lineage: Bacteria; Pseudomonadati; Pseudomonadota; Alphaproteobacteria; Rhodobacterales; Roseobacteraceae.